Molecule: transfer RNA, 70 nt
Filed under: Coleoptera sp. 3 KM-2017
Lineage: Eukaryota; Metazoa; Arthropoda; Insecta; Coleoptera
Description: tRNA-Asn
Source: RNAcentral
UUAAUUGAAGCCAAAAUGGAGGCCUUUCAUUGUUAAUGAAAAAACUGGUUCAUAUAAUAACCCAAUUAAA